GACGAACGCUGGCGGCGUGCUUAACACAUGCAAGUCGAACGAAGUGGCGAACGGGUGAGUAACGCGUAAUCAACCUGCCCUUCAGAGGGGGACAACAGUUGGAAACGACUGCUAAUACCGCAUACUGAAGGCGGGGAUUGCGUCUGAUUAGCUAGUUGGAGGGGUAACGGCCAACCAAGGCGGUGAGCAGUAGCCGGUCUGAAGGGAUGAGCGGCAACAGUGUGACGGAGACACGGCCCAGACGCCUACGGGAGGAAGCAGUGGGGAAUCUUCCGCAAGGGAGGAAAGUCUGACGGAGCAACGCCGCGUGAGUGAUGACGGCCUUCGGGUUGGAAAGCUCUGUUAAUCGGGACGCGGUACCGGAAUAGAAAGCCACGGCUAACUACGUGCCAGCAGCCGCGGUAAUAC
This 408-nucleotide ribosomal RNA is filed under the name uncultured bacterium. RNAcentral describes it as "partial 16S ribosomal RNA". It matches the Rfam family "Bacterial small subunit ribosomal RNA", at positions 28 to 526 of the family's 1533-position model. The record is from RNAcentral.